UCGCCCCGGGCCAGUCUCCACACUCAGCGGGGAGUCUGCUUGAGACUCUUUCUCCCUCUCCCUCUGCCCCUCCCCCCUGCUCUGUAAAUAAAAUAAAUAAAUAAAAUCUUUUUUUAAAAAGUGCUUAAUUCAAAGCCAAAAUAGUACAUGCCAUUCAUUCAUAUUUAUAUAAAUCAUACAUACAUUCUGUAACCUUUUUAAUUUUUAUGAUAGGAUAUGAAGCUUGAAGGUAUGUUUUAACAGGGAAUAAUGAAUACACAUGACUCCACCAUUCUGUUCUAAGAAUAUUAACAGAAACUUAGAUACACCCCUUGGUCCCUCCACACGUCCACCUUCCUGUCCGCUUCACAGCUGUCCUGGGAUUAUCACUACCCUGACGUUAUCACUCCAUUACUUUUCUUUAGAGCUUUACCGCAUGUGGAUAUGUCCCCAGACAGUUAUGGGGAACAUUACAAUUUGUCUCUUAGUAUUAAUUUAUUCUGUCUCCCGAGUUUUGCCAGCACAUACAGCUGCCUAGGAUAAAGAACGCCCUUCCCAGCCUCCUCUGCAGCUAGAGCGGCUUCACGCUACUGCUUGCAAUGUGCGCCAUGCGGACUGCGGUGGGAGUGCACAGCAAGCUAGAAGGAGCCCGGAUCCCUGGACACCAUCACGGAGCAGAGCCGCCGCCCCAGCCCCUGACUGCUUCCUCCAUACUGCUCCGCGAGGGAGAGACAAACCACCCCGUUUAAGCCAUUGUUACUUUGGACUGUGCUGCACGAGACCAAAGAUCUGUACGGUGAGAGCCACUUCAGCUGGUUUCUGCGUCCUUCGCUGUGUCCCUGUCAUUGUCCGAGCACUUUUUUUGCUUUCUGCUCCGUAAGAUGUCCCCGGCUCCCCGUGUACUUUUGCUGCCAUCAGUCAUGUCUCCAAGGAGCCCUGGUUCCUUCCCGUGGAGAACGGCAAUAGAAGGCAAGAUCUGAAGCCUGGUGUGCUCGCAGCCACGGGAUGCCGGUGCUCCUGGGCACGUCGGUGGCAAUGCUCGGAGGUUGGUGAGCCUGUACCACACAUCACGUCCAGAUGUCUGCCUCAGCCUGUCUGUAGAGACUGAAAGCCACAGGUUCACAGCACGACCUUCAGACACUCCUGGAGGUCCAGGGCCUAGAUGCCCCCUUUCUGGAUUAGUAACUCUCUGGUUGAUGCUCUCCCACCUCAUUUGGGCUCCAGUACCCUCCCCUUGGCUGGCUUCACCCCCACCCGGACCCCCGCCCGAUCCGCGUCGUUCUGGGCGGCCUCCCCACCGCCCAAACCCGGCUGGCACAGACGUGCUCCUCACCCUGCCCUGCCCAGAGUUUUUAGGACUGAGGCGUAAGUCAGGGAAAGGAAGGGUGGAGAAAGGAAGCGCUGUGGCUAUUUUUGACCCCGCACCCCGUCCACACUUACUACCCCCACAUGAGAUCAAUCACUACGGCUGAUGGGAUGCCCACAUCCCAUGGGAGACAUCUGUGGCUUCUGGAACACCAAGGCUGUGUGACCCCAGCCACGUUCAUGAACCUCUCUGAGCCUGCUCUGGGGCACCCACCAGAGUGGCAGCUCUAAGGGCGGCAACUCUCCAUUAGAUUUCUGGAGACGACAGUUGUGGGCACUGUCUGGGGAAGGAGGAGGCUGGGUGUGGAUCCUGACUCUGGGGGCUGCCAACCUCCAUGUUUGAAAAGAGAGGGAUGCUGACACUUGUCUGUGGUGAGGUAAGGACCCUGUCCCUCCCAUGCUGUGGGGGUCCACUUCGCCAGGGGCGUUUCUCUGCCCUCCUUGCCCUCCAGCUCCCCCAACCUCGAUCCUCACCGAGGACACGAAGGGGCCCAGCCUGGGUUCAGUCCCCGUGGAAGCUCCGGCUGCUUCGGAGAAGGUUCUAGGAGAGCCGGCGGCAGGCAGGCCCGGGCCAGGGGGCAGGGUCAGUCCUCCGUGUUUGUGAGUGGACAACAGAGUCGAUGACCCCACCCUGGGCUUCCUUGUGAAGGGGCACGUAACGUCCGGCGAGGACUGGCCCUUCUCUCCCGGACGGUGUCGUCACUGGGCAAUUCUCUGCUUUUUCAUCUGUCUCCAGCUUCCAAACUGGAGGAACGAUGGGAGGCUGGGAUGGCCCCUCAGAAGUCAGUGCCAGGGACCCCGGGGAGGAGGGCGUGGGCUUGCAGCUGUUGGGGAGCCUUGCGUGGGGCCUGGCAGGCAGGGCUUCCGUGUUCCCUCCAGCCCAGUGGCUGCUCUGUCUAGACGCUACAGUUCCCAUCCCCACCCUGGAGGUUCCCCCUUUCAGACUGCCUGCAGCAGCAGAUCCUCGAGGCGGCCCCAAACCCAGGGAGGUGUCUGGUGGAAGGAUGGGGGAAGCCCAGGCCUGAUGGCUCCGUUCCUGCCUCCCGCUGUGUAUACAACCCCACAGCCGUAAAACUGACAACAGGCCCAGCGGACAGGAAUAGAUCCCAUUGAGGACCCCUCUAUGGGUCGCCAUUGGAAUGCACCAGUCCCCUCCCACAGCCAAGCAAGACCAGCGCCACAUCCCAGGGGCAGCAGCCUCACAGAAUGACCGGCGGCGCACGUAGUCUCCAGAGGCGACCCCCCAGCACGCACACUUGCUUGGCCUUCAUUUCCUGGGUGAGGGCAGGGCUGGGGCCGGCUGGGCCUUGGUGAGGUUUGAGCAGCAGAUGGAAUGUGGUCCCCUCCACCAGCCCUGGGUGUUUGCCCUGGGCGCUUCCCCAUGUACCCUCCUCCGAUUCUUUCCCUGGCCCCUUCGGUAGGGGAGGGGAGGCCCGUAAGUUGGGGGAGACCCAGGCUAGCCCUGGGUGAACAUGCAUGCCUCUGUCGGUGUCCCCAGGUUAGGGAUACCCAGAGCCCAGAUGGGGCUGGGUGCAGGGGGCUGGAUGGCCUGGCUUUGGGGGUCUGUCCUUGUCCCCAGGUCCAGAAGCUGCUACCCAAGGGUUUUUCCCAGAGCUCAGACUGUGGUCACCCCCUGGUGGCUCAGGUUCUGGGGGGCAGGGGGGCGAGGCCCAGGCUGUGCUGGGCAGGCUGGGCUCCCAGGAGAGGAGGACCAGAGAGCUGCUCUGGCCCCCUAGGCUGGGCGGGCCUGGGAGAGCCAGGGGUUGGGGCAUGCCUGGGGUCCGAGACACUGGUCAUCCACUGAGACACUGAGCAGGGGUCUCUCACUGGGGAAGGGCACCCCCAUCUCCUCACAGCCUGGCCCCGAUGCCCUCUCUCUGCCCUCCUGGGGGCCUUGCUGGGGAGAUUACCCCAGGGUGCCUGGUGGGGGCGGCCAAGGGGUGUUUUCCACAAGCAAGUCAGAGUGGUGGUUUGCCUGUGAGGUCCCCAGCAGGUUACGGGCUGGAUCGUGGCCCCCCAAAUUCUUAUGUGCAGUCCUAGCCCCAGUACCUCGGAAAGAGCCUCAUUUGGAAAUAGGGUCCUUGCAGAUGUAAUCGCUUAAGAUGAGCAUGGUGGUCCCCAAUCCAGUGACUGGACACAGAGAAAGCACACGUGUGAAGAUGGGCAGAGAUUGGAGCGAUUCCCCUGCAAGCAAGGGUCGCGGGAAGGUCAGCGCUGGGAGACAAGGCCCGCCUUCACCCUCUGGAGGAGCUCAGUGCCAGCACCUGAGCUCAGACUUCUGCCUCCAGACCUGGCAGGUAAUGGAGCUCGGUGGUUGGAAGCCCCCGCAUUAUGGAACUUUGCUACGGCAGCCCCGGGACGGUGGCCUGCUGUCCACUCCGGACACUCCGGGUUUGAGGCCCUGCUCUGCCCUCCCCUCCCCUGCCAUCUCUCCUCACUACCCCUGGCCGCCCAAGCCAGCUGCCCGGUUCACCGAACCACCUAAUUGGCUGCACUUCCUUGGGAGAACCCCGGGGGAUGGUCUGACGAAAGCACAUGCAGAGGAGAAACCUGCCCUAAUUCCGGCAGGUGCCUGCAGGUGAAGAAGCAUCGGCUGGCCCAGCGGGCACGGGUCCCGUGGAUGCAUGGAGUUCCUGCCAGGCUCCCCUCCUGCUAAAGCACCCCAGGUCCUGGGAUCAGAGGCCCCAGUGCCCUUUUGCCCAGGGGAAGGGCCUCGCAGGGCUCUCUUUUCCUGGAACAAAUUCUUGAACUAGAGGGUGCUGGAACAUCCACGUCGACAACAGCGGCCUCCAUGUUCUCAGAGCUUUCCGGUCUGCACCGCACAGCAUCUGCUCCAGUGGAGGUCCGGGUGCCGGGGGAGGGGGGGUGCCUGCCCCAACCAGAGCCCCUGCCGAUGGGUAUAAGGAGGCAGCCCCUUGAGACUGCUCAGGGGUCCGAGGCCAUCAUCCCAUGGUGUCCCCAGCAUCUUCGCACGUGGAGAGGAGGGAGCACGAAGGGACAGGCCUGCUCGGGACAGAGCAGAUGGGCUGGGGUUCCCACCUGCCUCGCUCCCCACUGUGCUUCUCAGCACUGGUGCACUGGAGAAGCAGGAUUCUUCCCUCCCAGCUAUUGGAAGGCAGAAAUGAAAGCCCCCCCCCAAAUUUCUCAUUCCUUUUUGAGCCCCAAGAGCGGAAACGAUGUUGCUCCUGGAGUCGAGACUCCUAUCCGACUCUGGCAUUCAGGGGUGGCGGGACCCUGGGUGCCGCGUGAAGACCCAGGGCUCGGCAGAGGGUUGGGAGGGAAGGAGGGACCCUGGGUAAGUUCUGCGCUCUCCUGGGGCCUCGGUCUUCUCAUUGGUGGGAUGGCCGGUCAGACCAGAGGGUCCAUGUGGUAGGAACCACCCGGCAGCGUGGGCACUCGGUGUUCCAUCCCAGGACGCCCAGGCGCCUAGACAGCUUUUGAGACAAACCCACAGCCCUGCUCUCGGUUUCCCUCCCUCUCCUCUGAGUGAUACGCGGUGCUGGCCCUCUCCAGAGGCCCUGUCCAUCGGGGAUGCCACCUGGCCCAGGGCACUAGUCCUCAUGGCAUUACCAGUGCCCACCGGGAGCCGCCUCUGGGCUGAGUGCUCCUCGGAGUGGCCCCCUGACCUGCAGCCACACUCCCUUUUUCCCUGCUGGCUGCAUCUCUCUGUCACUGUUGAAAGCAGGCACCCAGCUAAAGGAUUACUCUUCCCCUUUUCCCUUCGCGGCCAGGCACGCCCCUGUGACGAGGAUCUAACCGGUGUUAGCUGAGGGUUUGAGCAGACUUCAGGAAAGGCCUCUCAGUAGUCUUCUUUACCUUCCCCCUCCUUCCUCAUCCCUGCUGCCUGGAAUGCAGAUGUGAUGGCUGGACUUCCUGCAGCUGCUACGGAGCCAUCCUUGGCUUCUCCCUUUCAGUACGCCCCCAUCUGGUCUGUCAAGAAAUCCUGCUGAGUCCAUGUUCAGACAGCCUCACUUCCAACCACCUCUCACCACUCCCUCUGUUUCCACCAUGAAGCAGGCUACCAUCAUGUCUCUUUCCUGGAUUGCUACAAUCUUCUCCUCACUGAGGAGCUUCUCCUCUGGUCUCCCCACAGUCUGCUCUCCACACAGCGCCCAGAAGGUCUGACCACAUCUGCUUCCACUCAGCCCCUUCUCACUCAGAGUAAAGGCCAGGCCCUCACAGGUCUGCACAGUCGGCGCCCCGCCAUUCCCCACUGAGCCCCUCCCUAGCACCCCUCCUCGCUGUUCCCCUACAGUCACACUCCCACUGCUGGGGCCCUCCCCAGGCCUUUGCACCAGCUGUGACCUCUGCCUAGACAAUGUCCCCAGACCUUCCUAGGCUGGCUUUUCUACCACCAUGCCUCUGUCCACCCCUUGCCUCCCCUGGAGGCCAUUCUGCCCAUCCUAAUGAAAAUGGCACCGACCCCUCCCUCCCAACCUUCUGCCCCGCCCUGGCUCUUCCCACAGUUUCUACCGCCUUCUGACACGCCCUUGGAUUUACCACUGUGUGUCAUGUCGCGUGCUUCUGGACCAUGUCUCCUACGAAAAGGCAAAUUCUAUAGCAUAGCUGAGGAAUGUAUGACCCUCGGACCCGGAGGAUGGAGGUCGUGGGAGAGGCAGCAGGGCCCAGCCCACCACCCUCCACUGACACAGCAAGCCUGGGGUUCAAGCCACUGCUGUUUGGGGUUUCCUGGUAGAGGUAGCCAAUGGCAAUCUUCAACUGUUACCCUCUCCACUUUACAGAUGGGGAAACUGAGGCUCGGAGAGGCGGAGCAACUUGCUCAAGGCCACGUAACUUGCUGGACCUGGGUCUCCACCCGAGCCUCGGAUUCCUCUCCUGAGACAGUGCGCUCACCAACGCCCUCCCGCGGCAGAGGCAGGAAAUCACGUCUCGCCAAAGGGCCUGGGGCACCGCAGGCCCCCACUCGCAGCAUGGCCCGUCCCUUCCUCGGCAAGUGGCCACGGGGGCUGCUACCAUCUCUGCAGGGGAAAGACCAACCUCCUCUCACGGGACUGUUGGUGGCUCACAGGCCCUCGUGCGCUGGGGAUGGAGAGGGCAGUCACAGCACCGGCGACGGCCGAGUCAGAGGUGAAGCAGGCCACGUGUGGGAAGCAGCAAGUGUGUUCGGGACGUGGACACCGUCACUGCCAGCUGGUGUCAUUGUCAUUGUUGCUUCGGUGCCCAGAUAAACACAGAUGACA
Molecule: long non-coding RNA, 6545 nt
Organism: Ailuropoda melanoleuca (giant panda)
Lineage: Eukaryota; Metazoa; Chordata; Mammalia; Carnivora; Ursidae
Exons: 4
Source: RefSeq, a predicted model, not a curated record